RNAcentral lists this ribosomal RNA (378 nucleotides) under uncultured eukaryote. Its description in RNAcentral is "partial 18S ribosomal RNA". It matches the Rfam family "Eukaryotic small subunit ribosomal RNA", at positions 592 to 976 of the family's 1831-position model. The record is from RNAcentral.
CAAUAGCGUAUAUUAAAGUUGUUGCAGUUAAAAAGCUCGUAGUUGGAUUUGUGGUUCGUCCCGCCGGCUGGGUCAUUGACUUUUGCUGUGCUGGUCGUCCAUCCUUGGGUGGAAUCUGUGUGGCAUUAGGUUGUCGCGCAGGGGAUGCCCAUCGUUUACUGUGAAAAAAUUAGAGUGUUCAAAGCAGGCUUAUGCCGUUGAAUAUAUUAGCAUGGAAUAAUGAUAUAGGACCUUGGUACUAUUUUGUUGGUUUGCGCACUGAGGUAAUGAUUAAUAGGGACAGUUGGGGGUAUUCGUAUUCCAUUGUAAGAGGUGAAAUUCUUGGAUUUUUGGAAGACGAACUACUGCGAAAGCAUUUACCAAGGAUGCUUUCAUUAA